CCCUUAGAUGUUCUGGGCCGCACACGCGCUACACUGAAGGAGGCAGCGUGUACUCCUGGAUCGAAAGAUUUGGGUAACCCGCGAAUCUCCUUCGUGCUAGGGAUUGAGGUUUGCAAUUAUCCUUCAUGAACGAGGAAUUCCCAGUAAGUGCAAGUCAUAAGCUUGCGCUGACUACGUCCCUGCCCUUUGUACACACUGCCCGUCGCUACUACCGAUUGAAUGAUUUAGUGAGGACUUCGGACUGGGACCGAUGCGGCUUUCGGGCUGCGUCGGUAUUCUGGAAAGAUGUCCAAACUGUAUCAUUUAGAGGAAGUAAAAGUCGUAACA
This 327-nucleotide ribosomal RNA is filed under the name uncultured eukaryote. RNAcentral's name for it is "partial 18S ribosomal RNA". It matches the Rfam family "Eukaryotic small subunit ribosomal RNA", at positions 1470 to 1796 of the family's 1831-position model. The record is from RNAcentral.